This 449-nucleotide long non-coding RNA is filed under the name Vigna radiata. Its description in RNAcentral is "long non-coding RNA (VRAD_LNC014021)". Lineage: Eukaryota; Viridiplantae; Streptophyta; Magnoliopsida; Fabales; Fabaceae. The record is from RNAcentral.
AAUAAACUUUUCUAAUUCAGAAAAUUAUACUCUCUUGAAAGUCACAAGGCUAGAGAGUCCAAAGACUCCCUCUAGCCACCUUUCAAAGCACACUUCCUAUUUUUCAUUUUUCCAAUUACUUCACCGUGCUUCUCUCUCCUCCACGGAGAACCAAUACUUCGCUGCCACAUAGCUCUCUGCCUGCAUCAGCACCUCACUUUCAACUUUAAAUUUCACACAUUCCACAGGCCAUUUCCUUUCUCCAGCGUCAUUCCUCGAGAGCUCCAUUUCCUCUCUCGAGUUCAUCGUCGCCAGCUAGUUUUUCACCGUAGCUCACCAUUUUCUCCACAGAUCUGUCCAUUUCUUCACAGUUUAAUCAUCUCCGGUCACUUUACUUCCACUUUCACCGAUUACUUUCCAUUUUCUACCGUUUGAAUCACUUUCCACCGAUUAAUCUAGCUUCUCCACCG